GCAAGAGCGCACCGGGGCGCUGGCGACAGUGUCCGCAUGGCAAACCCCGCCCGGAGCAAGACCGAAUAGGGGCGGCGCGCCCCGGUGCAAGCCGGGGCAGGCGGGUUUCGCGCUGAGUCGUCCGGGUUGGUCGCUGGAGCGGUGCAGCAAUGCAUCGCCGAGAGGAAUGGUCGCCAUCCCGGCGCAGGUCCGCGCAAGCGGAUACCGGCAGGGAUACAGAACCCGGCUUACAGGCUCUCCGGCACA
Molecule: RNase P RNA, 246 nt
Filed under: Novosphingobium sp.
Lineage: Bacteria; Pseudomonadati; Pseudomonadota; Alphaproteobacteria; Sphingomonadales; Sphingomonadaceae
Description: partial RNase P RNA component class A
Rfam family: Bacterial RNase P class A
About the family: Ribonuclease P (RNase P) is a ubiquitous endoribonuclease, found in archaea, bacteria and eukarya as well as chloroplasts and mitochondria.
Source: RNAcentral